CUAAAACGAUAUAAAUAUGUGGGGGGAGGGGUCAUAAUAGAUGGCCUGGUUCUCUCUAUCCCUGUGUGUCUGUUUGUCUGUCUCUUGUCUCUCUGUGUCUCUGUCUCUGUCUCUCUCUGUAUUUCUCUCUCUCUCUGUCUCUCUCUCUCAGGAAUAAGUGCCAGGUUCCCAUCAACACCAGGAUCCACACAAAUUCAAAUCCUUCAUAUAAAACAAAACAAAAAAAUGUCUAUAACCCCAUACAGCUGCCUGUAUGCAAAUUCUAAUUGGUCUUAAUAAUAAAAACCCUGAGUCAGAUAUAGGGGUAAAUGCUGAAAUAACAGAGAAGCAGAGCAACCAGCCACUAGUUCUUACCUCUACUGAAUCCUCAGACCAAAAGGGCGAUCCUGUCUCUAGAAACCCUCAGACUGAAUGCAUUAGCUCCUAUCUCCUCCUGCCUUAUAUUCCACUCUCUGCCCAACCAUAUCACUCCUGUCUCCAUCUCCCAAGUACUGGGAUUAAAGGUAUGAGCCACCAUCAUCUGGCUCUGUUUUUCUUUUAGACUGGAUCAAUUUUGUGUGGCCCAGGGCCUUGAGCUCACAGAGGUCCAUCUGCCUCUGUCUCUAGAGUGCUGGGAUUAAAGACUUUGGUUGGCUGAAUCCAAGGAUACAGAACUCGUAGAUAAAGAACCAUCUGGAAACUGAAGUGACCUCCUCCAUGUCGUCUUUUUUUCUGUUAUGCACUGGAAUGUGACCACCCUGUGAGGGUUAUGUUGGACCAGCAUCUACGGAAGGUGUUAAUGGUCAGUUGUGAUCUCUAUAUGCAUAUGCAGACAGUGAACGGUAAAGAGGUAGAAAUUCUCUCCUGUGCACAUUAAAAUAGAGCUGCCUACUUGGUGAGCGCUUGCAUAGCACAAAGUCCAAUCCCCUGCACUACAUAAGCUGAGUUGGCAGUGCAUGCCUUUCAUUCCAGCACUCAGGAGGUAGAGGCAGAAAGACUAGGAGUCCAUUCAAAGCCAACCAAGUGAGACUGUCUCAAAAACAAACAAAAACAGGACCAAAUGCUACAGAAUUGAAAGAAUCUGUCAUCUAGUCAUUUGCAUUAUACUGAAUGACCUGGCAAGCCAAUGACACAUGGCAUUAGCUGCCAUUUGUAGGGUGCUUUGCCUAUGGACAGGCACAGGUGUUUUAUUGACUCCAUUCUUCAAUGAUAUGAGGGCCCUGCUGGGACAGAGGUCUCAGGAGUAAGACAUCCUCAGGGCAGGCGGGGACCAGAGCACAGUCCUCCUGGAAGUUAGUUCCCUACCACUGCUGCUUCCUUGAGAUGGCAUUGGUUUGGUGACUUUACCCUAUCCCAUACCUCCACAUAAAGCCCUGGCCAGCGUGUUCCUGUUUCUGAGGCCCAGUGCUCAGCAGCCAGCAUCCCACCAGGCUGCGUUUGACCUCAAGCUAGUCUAGAGUUAGAUUGCCUGUCCAUUCUUUCACACAUCCUUGUGGACGCCACGGAUCCUGCACACCUCACUUUGUCUCUGGGUCCCAGAAGUAAGAUUUGAAGAAAAAAUCCAAAUACAAGAGUUAGAUAUACUUCUGCAUCAGGAAAAAGAAGUUUACAGCAGCCACCUUUUAAGGA
This 1608-nucleotide long non-coding RNA is filed under the name Cricetulus griseus (Chinese hamster). RNAcentral's name for it is "lncRNA (ENSCGRG00015033484.1)". The record is from RNAcentral. Lineage: Eukaryota; Metazoa; Chordata; Mammalia; Rodentia; Cricetidae.